This 236-nucleotide unclassified non-coding RNA is filed under the name Hevea brasiliensis (rubber tree). The record is from RNAcentral. Lineage: Eukaryota; Viridiplantae; Streptophyta; Magnoliopsida; Malpighiales; Euphorbiaceae.
UACAUAUUCCUCCUGCUGCCUUAAUCUUGUGAUAGUGUUUGACUUCGCACAGAGUUUAAGAAAUUAAAGAAAUCAAAGAAGACCUGAUCAAAUAUUUGCAAAGUUUAUAACCUUCCCUUAUUUCCCCCCGUAGUUCAUGCCAAAAAAUAUAUGCAAAGUACCAAAAGCGCCUGACUAGUCUAGUCAUAAGGGUGAAAUGAGGAUGUGCUCAAUUUUUUUGGGACAUAGUGAAGGGA